This 329-nucleotide ribosomal RNA is filed under the name uncultured eukaryote. RNAcentral's name for it is "partial 18S ribosomal RNA". It matches the Rfam family "Eukaryotic small subunit ribosomal RNA", at positions 1470 to 1796 of the family's 1831-position model. The record is from RNAcentral.
CCCUUAGAUGUCCUGGGCCGCACGCGCGCUACACUGAGUGUCUGAGAUACGAGUCUGCCUGGUCCGGCAAGGUCUAGGUAAUCGCUAAAAGACACAUCAUGCUUGGGAUAGAUUAUUGCAAAUAUUAAUCUUGAACGAGGAAUUCCUAGUAAGCGCAAGUCAACAGCUUGCGUUGAUUACGUCCCUGCCCUUUGUACACACCGCCCGUCGCUACUACUGAUUGGAUGUUUAAGCGAGGUUCUCGAACUGCUAGCGACUUAGCUUCGGUGAGGUCGCAGUGUGGGAAGUGAACCUAGCUUUGGUGUCUAGAGGGAGUAAAAGUCGUAACA